This is a long non-coding RNA of Daucus carota subsp. sativus, 496 nucleotides long. RefSeq lists it as uncharacterized. The transcript is spliced from 3 exons. The record is from RefSeq and is a predicted model, not a curated record. Lineage: Eukaryota; Viridiplantae; Streptophyta; Magnoliopsida; Apiales; Apiaceae.
GGUGAGUGCAGUUGCUUUGCCUAGGAUGACAGGCGCGAGAAAAGUUGGAACGGUGUAAACUCUUUACAGGCAGCGUCGCUCCUCAAAAACAUAUGCUCUCCAUCGAGCUUCUAGUUUUCGGAGUUGAGACUGGGGAAAGUUGAGAAGGGAGCUGUGUUGGUCGGUUCUUUUUCCGCAAAAGAGGUAUCACUUUUUAAAAGUAUAAUCUCUUCAAACCUUUUUAACUUUUGGAGUUGAGACGGGACAUUCAAGCUGAAAUGGGAAUUAGCAUUCGAUUGGUCCUGAUAUUCAAAGUUUGUUUCGUACGUCCAUUCAAAUCAGUUUCCGGCCCGGUGAGUGGAGUUGCUUUGCCUUGGAUGACAGGCGCGAGAAAAGUUGGAACGGUGUAAACUCUUUACAUGCAGCGUCGCUCCUCAAAAACAUAUGCUAUCCAUCGAGCUUCUAGUUUUCGGAGUUGAGACUGGGGAAAGUUGAGAUGGUAGCUGUGUUGGUCGGU